This 433-nucleotide ribosomal RNA is filed under the name uncultured bacterium. RNAcentral's name for it is "partial 16S ribosomal RNA". It matches the Rfam family "Bacterial small subunit ribosomal RNA", at positions 29 to 507 of the family's 1533-position model. The record is from RNAcentral.
AACGAACGCUGGCGGCAUGCCUAACACAUGCAAGUCGAACGAGACCUUCGGGUCUAUUGGCGCACGGGUGCGUAACGCGUGGGAACCUGCCCUUAGGUUCGGAAUAACUCCCCGAAAGGGGUGCUAAUACCGGAUAAUGUCUUCGGACCAAAGAUUUAUCGCCUUUGGAUGGGCCCUCGUUGGAUUAGCUAGUUGGUAGGGUAAAAGCCUACCAAGGCGACGAUCCAUAGCUGGUCUGAGAGGAUGAUCAGCCACACUGGGACUGAGACACGGCCCAGACUCCUACGGGAGGCAGCAGUGGGGGAUAUUGGACAAUGGGCGAAAGCCUGAUCCAGCAAUGCCGCGUGAGUGAUGAAGGCCGUAGGGUUGUAAAGCUCUUUUACCCGGGAUGAUAAUGACAGUACCGGGAGAAUAAGCCCCGGCUAACUACGUG